CUGAGGGCUUCCUUUAUGCCUACUUCAGUUACUGAAGUUGAAAAACACCCUAAUUCCAUUCAAUUACCUUCACUGCAGUGCUAUUUUUGAACUACCAUACAUAUGCAUGGUUUGCUGUUCUGUGUGACCUAGCAAAGUUCAGCAGAGCUCCAGGAACCAUUAUGAAGGGAGAGAAAUGAUUCUACAUGGCAAGCAGUGUUAUUUUUUAAUUAGUUUUUUUGGUUUCAGCAGCUUUCUUUUUUCUUGCUUUUCCUCAUUCCCUCAUUUUUUUCUCACUGAGGAGGAGAACUUCUUUGUCUUGUUAAGAUCAAAGGGGAGAGCAGGAUGUCUGAUAAUACCAGGAUUUUCACAAUAUGACAACAUUAGUAGAGGUGAGGAAGAAAAAAGUGACUUUACAAGAUGUUUUUAUUUUAAGGAAUAGAGUUUAUUUCAAGAACUUGUUCGUACGCAUUUGGAUUAAGAAGCUGAGCUCUCUGAAAUCACACUGUUAUGCUUUUGAGCCAUGGACGUUUGUAUUUAUUCUUUCACAGCCAUCUAUCUGCUCUUUUUCUUCCUCCUUCAAGUGCAGCAUUCAUCAGAGUGGUUACUUCAGUUCCCAUUGUUUUUGCUCUGAAUUCAUGGAUGUAAAGCAGAGAGAAAAAUAAUGGAAAGAUAAAUCCCUGGAAAAUGAUCAAUUAAAGAUGGCAGAUCUUAUCCUUGAGAGUUGGAACUGUUAAUGAGACAUGGGAGUGAUUUUACUCCCCUUUACCAAUAAAGGAUUCAUCUCAGUGAGGAGGAUGCAAAAAUUUAUACCACCUGCCUUGGAAGGUGGUUCUUCUUACUUUUAGUUCCAGAAUGGGAGCACCUGACAUAGAUUUUCCCCAGAUUACAGCUGACAGAGCUGGGGUCAACAUCUGAUGCUGAUUGGGAUGUUAAAAAUGGUUGAAGUGAAACCCCACACUUUUUCUUGUGGUGCAAAGAGAAGCUUUGUUACUUCAGAGCAGCAGAGCAGCACAUGUUCUGUAGGAGCUGGGAGGAUUAGAAGAGGUAUGUGCUCAUGGUGUACUGUUUGUCCCUGCCAGACGAUUCCCCAAGUCUUCUUCUGGGAAAGUGCAGCUAUGUUUCAACUGCUUUGCAGACAGAUUGGACACUUGCAAUCUAGGUCAUUGAGAAAAGCAAUUUAUGAAACAGCAGAAUGCUUUUCUAGAGAAUGAGAUGUCUGACUUUUGUUCCAAGCUCUGCCAGAGUGACCUUGCACUGCCACUUUCUCUGUAUUUCAGCAUCCACAACUAUAAAAUGUGAGUAAUGAGGGUAUAAAUGUAUCAUUUCUUUCUUGAGUAAUGAUGUUGCGUGGUCGUGCUUUGUCCUUUAUUUCUGUUUACUGUAUAGUUUGAGAUUUACUGAUAAAAAAGCGUGUUUGUAGCUAACUACAUUUCAGGAUUCUCAAUACACUAUUACUUGCAACUUAUUUAUUUGUAUCUGUACAAAGGUGGUAUUAAUCAUUUGGAAACUGUUACGGUCUUAUUAACUAAAUGGAGAAAGCAGAAUGUUUAGAAGUUCUGUGGGCUGCAGAUGCAAAAGGCAAGGAAUCAUGUUAAAAGAGAAGACAUUCUAUAAAUCACUCAUCCUCUAAAGUCCUGCAUACACAUCACCCUUCCUGCCUUAUAUGAGUCAAGACAGUAAACUUCAUCUCCAGUCUCCUAGAGCAGUUUGCUACACUUUCAUCUUACUCUGUUCAAAUUAUCCCUAUUUACUUAUUACUGUUUCAUAUAGUUUAUUAAUCCUUUCCUUCUACCGGACAUGCCUAAGUUAAGACUCAAUCGUAGAAGUUUUCCAAUGCACAAACUCUAUAGAUCUUAUAAACAGAAAACAAGUGACUAAAUACUGACUCUUGCCUCUGAUAUUACAUAUGUUAAUUUAGAAAAACAGUUCCUCGUGUUAGCACAGUAAUAAGAUUGUACAGGUUCUGCCCCUCUGCUGUGAACUGCCUAAUCAGCUAGAAUUUCGAAGUAAGGACUAGACUCAAAGAUCUAUAGAAAUUCAAAACAUUUUUUUGCCUGGUGCAGAAUAUGUCAUCUGUAAGACAACAAGUUCUGCUUUGGUCCUUGCAAUGCUUUCCAAAUGUAUAAGCCUCACUGGAAUUUUAAGCUGUUAAAUAUGUUUCAGAAUAAUCUGUGCUGCAGUAAUUAGAGAAAAAGAGAUUGCCUUUUCUUCCUACUGAAGAAUGUGUUAGCAUCACUUUACCAUUGGUUUUCAUUCCAAAUGACACAAUUCUGAAAUAUACUAAAAAUAUCUCAUAGAACUUUCACAUGAAAUUGUUAUAAUGAUGUUUGUACUAUAAGGGUCAUUUUACUUGCCUAACAUCCAUGAGAUGAAGACAAGAAAGCAUUGUGAGCAUGAUAACAAGAAUAUUAUGAUGGUUAACAUGACAUUUAUGUGGCAAUGGAAUGAACAACUCUAUAAGCCCGCUGGAACACAAGGGUUGCUGAAACAUGACAAAUUUAUUAAACCUAUUUCCUAACCCACUUUUUUCCAUUUUUUUCCCCAUCCAAUAACACAGAGAAUUCUGUGGCACAACAAUAGAGGGAAAAGAAUGACACCCGCCGGCAAGGUAGCAGAGCUGGUUUCUGUCUGUUCUUGCAUAAAGUAGGAGGAAUAGAAGCUUGUUUGUCGCUGCAGGAUGUGGAGAACAUCUCCACAGAAGAUGGAAGGUCCAAAUUGAUGGACAUUGUCAAAAGGACCUUCAGAGAUAAGGCUUAGCUUCUCUCACUGCCUCAUGUGUUACACAAAAAUAUUGUUCUCUUAGGUAGUGGAUAUAAUCCUGAAGGCUGGUGUCUGUUCACUUUCUUGAGCAACUUUGGAAACAGAUAUAUCUAAAAAAAAAUGUGUGCUGUGCUAUAAAGGAAUAUGUGUUAAGUGAAGUGAUAAUGCUUAUUUCUAAUGGUUUGCCUAAAAGUUCGGGUUACAAAAUCUAGUGAAACAGAGAGGACCAGAUACUUGUGUCCCCAAAAAUGAAAGAAAAUACCUCAUUUUCAUCAGGCUUCAUCCAGACCAGCUAUAAUCUUGUAUAAUGGACUUGCUCUCCAAGUAAAGAGGAAAUUUUCAUAAGGAAAUUGCCUUGUGGCUUCCGAAAGAAAACCUUUCUGAUUCAUGAGAAACUACACACCAGCAUUAAAAACUGUCAAAAUAAAGUAGCUGUUCUUAUGGAAAGCUGGUAUUUA
This 3200-nucleotide long non-coding RNA is filed under the name Coturnix japonica (Japanese quail). Its description in RNAcentral is "lncRNA (ENSCJPG00005017957.1)". Lineage: Eukaryota; Metazoa; Chordata; Aves; Galliformes; Phasianidae. The record is from RNAcentral.